Molecule: long non-coding RNA, 1133 nt
Organism: Cucumis sativus (cucumber)
Lineage: Eukaryota; Viridiplantae; Streptophyta; Magnoliopsida; Cucurbitales; Cucurbitaceae
Exons: 4
Source: RefSeq, a predicted model, not a curated record
GAGAAGAAGAAAAAAAGCUAUUAAUUACGAAAUCGUGAUAUUGUCACAGCUCCUCUCCUGCACUUCUCUUUCAAAUCCCAAUUCUUCCCUCUUCCACAACGCCACUCCUUCCAACUUCCCUUCAAUUAUCCAUUAUUUCCCUCCAUUCUCCGAACCUCUCUGGAUCUUACUGAUCUCCAAGCUUCUCUUGUCUUUCAUUACUUGUUCGCUGCUGAUCCUGGUAUUGUGUAAGACUACAUUUUUGUUUCACUUCAACAUGCUUAUCUCUAGCGUCCCAAAAAAACCUGGCUGAUGGAUGGUUAUUCAUCUCUUUGGACAUACGUACUAACGAUCCCCAGAUACUUAUUUAGCAGCUUCAGCUAACCUGUGUGAGGGUGCAAGAAACUCGGUUGGUUGGUGGAAGACAAUAGCCUUGCCCACAUCCUGUCAGUAAUCACUACUUUGUUUUGUCUCUCAGUUAUCCGCUGCAAAUGUAGGAGCAACAUAAGAUUGGUCUAUUUUCAGGUCAGGGAGAUAAUCAGUCAAAUGAGGGACAUCUUCAAGAACAUAAUGAAAGUCACCACCAGUCAAGGAAUCUCCGGGAGCACCUCUACUAUUCCCACCAUUAUGGUCCAUCGGAGAUGAUCCGCGGUUCCAAAAGGGGAGGUGAUCGGAGGCAGGUGCCGAGAAGUGGAUGGAAGUGGAAGAAGAAGAGAAGCUAGAAAAGGAAGAAUCCAUGGGAAUUGAAGAAGGUCAAAGAAGAAGGAAGAAGAGAAGGCAUAUUUGUAGACUGAUCGACAGGAACGUCAGAUGGUGGUGACUUUUAUGAAGAAGAACGUCAUGGUGGUGACUUGUUGAAAUGAAAAAUAGUUAGAAAAGGCAGAGUAGUGGUGGCUUCUAGAGGAUUGGUGAGGAAGCCAUGAAAAAAAAGUAGAAAAGUCCGAAAGAAAGAAAAGGAAUAUUCUUGAAUCUCCCAUGGUUCUCAUAUUCGUGCAGCUUGUGAUUUUGCUACCUAGACCUACAGUUUCACGGAUUAUGGGGGAACCUCUAUGGGCUAAUUUGUCAAAUAUUUUAGAAGGAAACUUCAAUUCAAACUUGAAUUAAGCACAAGGAGAAAGAGAAAGAAGGGUUGACUUUACAACCGAUUUGACAAA